UUUCAAUGCGGACGAUAUUUUGAAUAGCGUUCGGAUCUUAAAAACGCUAUUAUAGUUAGCGUCUCACACUCGCCUCGUUCAGCUCAGCAUAAUUCACUCAUUUUUAGUUAUUAUUUUCAAACUCAUCCUUUUUUUGUAUUAUUGUAUUUUUUAUUACACCUUUUUUGUCAUUUGCCCUCGGUAUCUCUCCUCUAGCAUCAG
RNAcentral lists this unclassified non-coding RNA (201 nucleotides) under Hevea brasiliensis (rubber tree). The record is from RNAcentral. Lineage: Eukaryota; Viridiplantae; Streptophyta; Magnoliopsida; Malpighiales; Euphorbiaceae.